CCCUCAGAGCAUCCGGGGUAUACGUGAUUUAAUACAUUUCUCCCCAAGCCUCACCUUCCCCCCAAAUCCCGGAAGCCUAAAAGAGAGCGAAUCCCCAUCGCUGUUUCAGUCUUUUCCCAAGGAAAUAACCAAUUAGAAAGGAGCCUAUUUUACUUAGCCGCGCCCCUCUCGGGAGGCUCUCGUCGCUCGCUGAUGACGCAUACGCCCUUGCCAUUUGAUAACGAGUCCUCCCGCGUGACUUCGUUCCAGCCAAUCAUUAGUCCGGCUCCAAGCCAGCCUUCCCGCCUUUGGGAAAUAAUCCGAGUGCGGAAGUCUGGAACAAGGGAGCUGCCGCGCGGAGCCCAGCAGCUUCCUUCUUCGACCCCGGGUGUUGUGCCGAGGUGAAGAAAAGGGCGGCGUGGCAGUGGCUUACCUAUGGUACUAAGUACAGAGCCUCCGACCCCCGUGCAGCCUUGUCGGGACCAGGGUUGAGGCCCCAGAAAUUCCCAGCCCACAUCCUAAGCGAAACAGAAAAUGGAGCCUCAAAGCAAUCGAGUGACUUGUUCCCAGGAUACCCAUGGUACAGCCAGAUCUGGCACCAGGGCCUGCAGCUGCUGCCCAUACCCCAGUCAAGUCCAGAUCAAUAACGGUCCGCCACCAGCCACUGAGCCACACCGCCUGGGCCAACAGCAGCAGGAGGGCCAGAGAGGGACGGGGUGGCUGCACUGGCCCGGCCUCAUUGUAGCCCCACGAGCUCAGUGAUAGGUGGGGCCUGCACCAUGAAUUCCUCAUAGCAACGGAGAAACAGCCGGAAGCGAGCCAGGUACGAGUCCUCGUUGUACGGUAGCUGCUUCUCACGGAGGAACUGGGACACCACGGGCUUCACCUGGUGGAAAAUGGGCAGGAGAGGGGCCUAUGAGCUGGGGCUGUGGGCAGGCCCAUCGUCCUAUGGUGGGUGGCAGUGGGCAUCAUCUUCCCACCCGCAGCUCCUAUCGGCCUUGUUCCAAGAUUCUCCGGAGGAGUAGAACGCCUUAAGUCAGAGAAUUCUUGUCCCCAACCCAGCAGAAGAAAGGAGUGGCUUCUCUCCAACAUCCAGGGAUCCUGACUGCGUGACAGCCCUCCUUGGCACAGGGGGAUAAAAACCAGAGCUCCCUUUUACCAAGCCCCUACAGGCGCCCGCCACCUCGCCCAGCUAGUUUUUAUGUAUUUUUUAGUAGAGACGGGGUUUCACCGUGUUCGCCAGGAUGGUCUUGAUCUCCUGACCUCAUGAUCCGCCCAUCUUGUCCUCCCAAAGUGCUGGGAUUACAGGCUUGAGCCACCGCGCCCAGCCCCAAAUCUAUAAUUAUUUUCAAAAUAAAAAGCUUUUUACAAAAGUAUAUUUUUGUACUGCAAAUCUGAGUUUUCCCUCCAAAUAAAUAUUAAAGAUUAAAAAAAUAA
Long non-coding RNA from Chlorocebus sabaeus (green monkey), 1416 nucleotides. RefSeq lists it as uncharacterized. NCBI's taxonomy places the organism in Eukaryota, Metazoa, Chordata, Mammalia, Primates, Cercopithecidae. The record is from RefSeq and is a predicted model, not a curated record.